CGGAGCAGACGCGAGGCCCGGCGCUCGCGCCGCGCCCGGGAGCCCGGGAGGGAGACCGGCAGCGGCGGCAUGAGGCAGGCGACGCGGCGCUGGUGAGCAGCGCGCGCGGCGGCGGCGGCGGCGGCGGCGGGGACCUUGGCGCGGCCGGACGCGGGCGAGCGCCGAACGGCCGGGGGCUCCCCUCCCCCGCUGCCGGGCCGUGAUUUGCCGGGCCUGCUGCGCCCCCCGCCCACCCCUUGCCUCAGCCGCCGCCUCGCCGCUUCCCCUCGUCGGAGCGGCCGCUCGUCCGCCCGGCUUGAGGCCCGCGGGGAGCGCGGCGCAAUUCGUCGGCCCGCGGGGGGGCGGCCUCCCGGCAUCUUCGCGGCGACCAAGGACUACCAGGAAGGGGAGCGGCUGGGAUGGCGCGUCCGCGGCCCCGCGAGUACAAAGCGGGCGACCUGGUCUUCGCCAAGAUGAAGGGCUACCCGCACUGGCCGGCCCGGAUUGAUGAACUCCCAGAGGGCGCUGUGAAGCCUCCAGCAAACAAGUAUCCUAUCUUCUUUUUUGGCACCCAUGAAACUGCAUUUCUAGGUCCCAAAGACCUUUUUCCAUAUAAGGAGUACAAAGACAAGUUUGGAAAGUCAAACAAACGGAAAGGAUUUAACGAAGGAUUGUGGGAAAUAGAAAAUAACCCAGGAGUAAAGUUUACUGGCUACCAGGCAAUUCAGCAACAGAGCUCUUCAGAAACUGAGGGAGAAGGUGGAAAUACUGCAGAUGCAAGCAGUGAGGAAGAAGGUGAUAGAGUAGAAGAAGAUGGAAAAGGC
This 803-nucleotide long non-coding RNA is filed under the name Homo sapiens (human). RNAcentral's name for it is "long non-coding RNA NONHSAT171851.1". Lineage: Eukaryota; Metazoa; Chordata; Mammalia; Primates; Hominidae. The record is from RNAcentral.